This 210-nucleotide ribosomal RNA is filed under the name uncultured bacterium. Its description in RNAcentral is "partial 16S ribosomal RNA". It matches the Rfam family "Bacterial small subunit ribosomal RNA", at positions 568 to 775 of the family's 1533-position model. The record is from RNAcentral.
CGCGCAGGCGGCUUGGCAAGUCGGGUGUGAAAUCCCGGGGCUCAACCCCGUGACUGCAUCCGAUACUGUCAGGCUAGAGGUAGGUAGGGGAGAUCGGAAUUCCUGGUGUAGCGGUGAAAUGCGCAGAUAUCAGGAGGAACACCGGUGGCGAAGGCGGAUCUCUGGGCCUUACCUGACGCUCAGGCGAGAAGCGUAGGGGAGACCGAACGA